AAAUCCGCCGUGAAGGGCAAGGCCAAAAGCCGGCCUGACUGCGUCCUCAACACCAAGGGACGCAGGGGCGAAAGCCUGGCCUAGCGAACCCCGAUGUCCCUCUUGAUGAGGGCUCGGGAUGACAGAAAAGGUACCCCGGGGAUAACAGAGUUGUCGCGGGCGAGAGCCCCCAUCGACCCCGCGGCUUGCUACCUCGAUGUCGGUUCUUCCUAUCCUGGCCGUGCAGCAGCGGCCAAGGGUGGGGUUGUUCGCCCAUUAAAAGGGAACGUGAGCUGGGUUUAGACCGUCGCGAGACAGGUCGGAUGCUAUCUUUCGGGGGUGCUGGGUACCUGAGGGGAAGGUGGCCUCAGUACGAGAGGAACAGGCUACCGGCGCCUCUGGUUUACCGGUUGUCCGACAGGGCACAGCCGGGCAGCUACGCGCCAGCCGAUAAGGCCUGAAAGCAUCUAAGGCCGAAGCGGCCCUCGAAAAUAGGUACCCAUUUCCGGCGGCUCCGAAAGGGGCGCUCGCGCCGGCGACGGCGCGGGAGGCCGGAACAAGGGCUGGGGCUAGAAGACCCCGUUGAUAGGCCGGGGGUGUAAGCGCGAAGCUUCGGCGACGCGCUCAGCCCGCCGGUACUAAUCGCCCGAGGUUCGUUUCCU
This 641-nucleotide ribosomal RNA is filed under the name Hadesarchaea archaeon. Its description in RNAcentral is "partial 23S ribosomal RNA". It matches the Rfam family "Archaeal large subunit ribosomal RNA", at positions 2402 to 2987 of the family's 2987-position model. The record is from RNAcentral. Lineage: Archaea; Methanobacteriati; Hadarchaeota (SeqCode); Hadarchaeia (SeqCode).